RNAcentral lists this ribosomal RNA (345 nucleotides) under uncultured Aquimarina sp. RNAcentral describes it as "bacterial SSU rRNA". It matches the Rfam family "Bacterial small subunit ribosomal RNA", at positions 381 to 724 of the family's 1533-position model. The record is from RNAcentral. Lineage: Bacteria; Pseudomonadati; Bacteroidota; Flavobacteriia; Flavobacteriales; Flavobacteriaceae.
CUCUGAUCAGCCAUGCCGCGUGUAGGAAGACUGCCCUAUGGGUUGUAAACUACUUUUAUAGAGGAAGAAACGAUUUCACGUGUGGAAUUUUGACGGUACUCUACGAAUAAGGAUCGGCUAACUCCGUGCCAGCAGCCGCGGUAAUACGGAGGAUCCAAGCGUUAUCCGGAAUCAUUGGGUUUAAAGGGUCCGUAGGCGGGUUUGUAAGUCAGUGGUGAAAGUUUUCGGCUCAACCGGAAAAUUGCCAUUGAUACUGCAAGUCUUGAAUCAUUAUGAAGUGGUUAGAAUGUGUAGUGUAGCGGUGAAAUGCAUAGAUAUUACACAGAAUACCGAUUGCGAAGGCAG